RNAcentral lists this transfer RNA (77 nucleotides) under Vibrio vulnificus. RNAcentral describes it as "tRNA-Trp". It matches the Rfam family "tRNA". From Rfam's summary of the family: Transfer RNA (tRNA) molecules are approximately 80 nucleotides in length. Their secondary structure includes four short double-helical elements and three loops (D, anti-codon, and T loops). The record is from RNAcentral. Lineage: Bacteria; Pseudomonadati; Pseudomonadota; Gammaproteobacteria; Vibrionales; Vibrionaceae.
AAGGGUGUAGCUCCAAUUGGCAGAGCGGCGGCUUCCAAAUCCGACGGUUGAGAGUUCAAAUCUCUCCUCCCUUGCCA